UUGCAUAUUUUUCUACUUUCAAGAUGCAUGAAUAAGCUCGUUUUCUAGCAAUUUUGUCCGAAACAACUGAUUUCGGUGCGGAGAAGCUUGAAUUCCUGCAUUAGGGGAGAACCAAGAAGAUGUCAACUUAUUGUUGCUAUUCACCAAGAUCAUAAGCACCAAUUUGUUCAUUCAGCUCAAACUGUGACAACAUCAUCCGAUGAUCCAAGAAGAUACCAAGCAUUUGAUCGCUUCACCCUCACAGCACAGGGGAAGUAGUUCACACCCUUGACAUAAAGAACAGAUGAACCCUCGUGGAGUGACAAUAGAUCAUGCACUAUAGGCCUCCAAAAGACUGCCCUGCCAUGGCUAUUUGCUUGCUCUUCUUUCUAAAAUGGAAAGGGAACGCUGUUUCUUAAGACGUGCCGACCUGGUGACCAGUAGCUUACUAACCAUAGUGAGAGACGUGUUGAGCCGUGUGGUUGCAGAGGGUACGUUAAUUCGAGUUUUGUAAACUACUUGUUUAUAACUUUCGAAACACCCUUGGUUUGUGAAUGAAUUUUGUAUUGCGCACACCUUUAAAACUUAAUAGUAUUGUUAUAAUG
Long non-coding RNA from Cucurbita moschata (crookneck pumpkin), 584 nucleotides. RefSeq lists it as uncharacterized. The record is from RefSeq and is a predicted model, not a curated record. The transcript has 3 exons. Lineage: Eukaryota; Viridiplantae; Streptophyta; Magnoliopsida; Cucurbitales; Cucurbitaceae.